This 406-nucleotide ribosomal RNA is filed under the name uncultured bacterium. RNAcentral describes it as "partial 16S ribosomal RNA". It matches the Rfam family "Bacterial small subunit ribosomal RNA", at positions 29 to 526 of the family's 1533-position model. The record is from RNAcentral.
AUUGAACGCUGGCGGCAGGCCUAACACAUGCAAGUCGAGCGAGCGGCGGACGGGUGAGUAAUGUCUGGGAAACUGCCUGAUGGAGGGGGAUAACUACUGGAAACGGUAGCUAAUACCGCAUACCAUCAGAUGUGCCCAGAUGGGAUUAGCUAGUAGGUGGGGUAACGGCGCACCUAGGCGACGAUCCCUAGCUGGUCUGAGAGGAUUACAAGCAACACUGGAACGGAGAAACGGUCCGGAUUCCUACGGGAGGCAGCAGUGGGGAAUAUUGAACAAUGGGCGCGAGCCUGAUGCAGCCAUGCCGCGUGGGUGAAGAAGGCCUUCGGGUUGUAAAGCACUUUCAGCGGGGAGGCGUUACCCGCAGAAGAAGCACCGGCUAACUCCGUGCCAGCAGCCGCGGUAAUUC